UACGUAGGGUGCAAGCGUUAAUCGGAAUUACUGGGCGUAAAGCGUGCGCAGGCGGUGAUGUAAGACAGAUGUGAAAUCCCCGGGCUCAACCUGGGAACUGCAUUUGUGACUGCAUCGCUGGAGUACGGCAGAGGGGGGAUGGAAUUCCGCGUGUAGCAGUGAAAUGCGUAGAUAAUCGGAAGGAACACCAGUGGCGAAAGCGGCUUCCUGGUCCGACACCGACGUUCAGGCACGAAAGCGUGGG
This 244-nucleotide ribosomal RNA is filed under the name uncultured bacterium. RNAcentral's name for it is "partial 16S ribosomal RNA". It matches the Rfam family "Bacterial small subunit ribosomal RNA", at positions 524 to 765 of the family's 1533-position model. The record is from RNAcentral.